Molecule: ribosomal RNA, 253 nt
Filed under: uncultured bacterium
Lineage: Bacteria
Description: partial 16S ribosomal RNA
Rfam family: Bacterial small subunit ribosomal RNA
Source: RNAcentral
UACGUAGGGUGCGAGCGUUAAUCGGAAUUACUGGGCGUAAAGUGUGCGCAGGCGGCCGAGCAAGUCGAGUGUGAAAGCCCCGAGCUUAACUUGGGAACUGCGCUCGAAACUACUUGGCUAGAGUGUGGCAGAGGGAGGUGGAAUUCCACGUGUAGCGGUGGAAUGCGUAGAGAUGUGGAGGAACACCGAUGGCGAAGGCAGCCUCCUGGGCCAACACUGACGCUCAUGCACGAAAGCGUGGGGAGCAAACAGG